Molecule: ribosomal RNA, 393 nt
Filed under: uncultured bacterium
Lineage: Bacteria
Description: bacterial SSU rRNA
Rfam family: Bacterial small subunit ribosomal RNA
Source: RNAcentral
GACGAACGCUGGCGGCGUGCUUAACACAUGCAAGUCGAACGGAAAGGCCCUGCUUUUGUGGGGUGCUCGAGUGGCGAACGGGUGAGUAACACGUGAGUAACCUGCCCUUGACUUUGGGAUAACUUCAGGAAACUGGGGCUAAUACCGGAUAGGAGCUCCUGCUGCAUGGUGGGGGUUGGAAAGUUUCGGCGGUUGGGGAUGGACUCGCGGCUUAUCAGCUUGUUGGUGGGGUAGUGGCUUACCAAGGCUUUGACGGGUAGCCGGCCUGAGAGGGUGACCGGCCACAUUGGGACUGAGAUACGGGCCCAGACUCCUACGGGAGGCAGCAGUGGGGAAUAUUGCACAAUGGGCGGAAGCCUGAUGCAGCAACGCCGCGUGCGGGAUGACGGCCUU